CGCCUUUCUAUACCAAUGCCCCGCGUUUUUAAAGACGAAAAUGAAGAAAGACGAAGUUGCAGAAAGAGUGAAGGAAAGGGACUCCUCCGUUCUUUCUUGGAGAUCUCAUUAAUCGGAUAUCGAAUCCUAAAAGCUACGGGCAAUCGAUUCUGUUCUCUCUCCUAUUCACUUAUUUUGUUCUUGAUUGACUCGUUCAUCAACAUAUUCUAGGUUUUUCCAUCUAGUUGUCCAAUUCGCUGCAUUUUGUUUGAUUUCCGAUGCUCGAGAUUAUUGAUUUUCGUUUUGUUCUGAAAAAUUUUGUGUAGUUUUUUUCGGAUCUCGGCUGCGGAUCUAAAUUUCCGUGAUGAUGAUAUCUCUGGUUGUCUCAUCGAUAGAAGCUAGAAACUCUUCGCGGAGCAUAUGAACUAGAAGGUUUACUCUGUGGUUCAAUACAAUAGAAUUAUGGCUUCCAUUCGAAGACCUCUAUCACCUGCUCAUCACAGUCGUUCUUAUCAAAGCGGAGGCAGUCCAUUUGAGGUUCAUUCUCCGACUCAUAAGUUUCUUUCCGGUUCGAAUUACUCGUCGAAUUCGCCAUAUUAUGCAGUGUUGGCCGUUGGAUUUCGCCGAUUUCUGGAGGGGAUUUUCUUGCCGAAAUACUCACGCAAGAGUUACCAGCGAUGGAAGCGGUUCAUGUAUCUAUUAUUGCUGUGUUUUGUUCUAGGUUUCGGGUUAGGGCUCACGCCGUUUGGUGAUGUCGAUGACAUUAGAGGACAUGACUUACCGUAUGUGAUCAAGCUAUCCACUUUAAACGUGCAACAGGGCGUUGGUGAUACUGUUGGGGAGGAGAAGGUUGUGCUGGAGACGGUGCACAAAGAUCUUGAGAAGGUUGUGCUGGAGACGGUAAACCAAGGUCUUGAGACCAAGUCUGAAAUAGACCCAGUCGAUCUUAUCCCGCGGAAGCAGUUAAUAAUCGUAACUCCGACAUACAAUCGGCCUCUCCAAGCAUUCUAUCUCAAUCGCUUGGGUCAGGUACUAAGACUUGUUCGGCCGCCUCUUCUGUGGAUUGUGGUGGAGAUGAACUCAGCUUCAAAGGAAACUGCAGAAAUUCUUGGGAAUGCUGGUGUCAUGUAUAGGCAUCUUUUGUGCUCGAAGAAUAUGACAGACAUAAAGGAUAGAGGUGUUCACCAACGAAACAGGGCUCUCGAGCACAUUGAACUCCAUCGUCUAGACGGGAUUGUCUACUUCGCAGAUGAUGAUAACAUCUAUUCUCUUGAAAUGUUUGAAAGCAUGAGAGAAAUCAGACGCUUUGGCACUUGGCCUGUUGCUAUGCUUGCUCAGAGCAAAAACAAGGCCAUACUGGAAGGUCCAGUAUGUAAUGGGAGUCAAAUAAUUGGAUGGCACACUAAUGAGAAGAGUAAGAGACUGAGAAGGUUUCAUGUUGAUAUGUCAGGAUUUGCAUUCAACAGCACCAUCCUAUGGGAUCCCAAGAGAUGGCAACGCCCCAUUUCAGAACCUAUAAGGCAGUCAGACACGGUGAAGGAGGGAUUUCAAGAGACUGUGUUCAUAGAGCAGGUGGUGGAAGACGAGAGUCAAAUGGAAGCCAUAUCUCUUGGCUGUUCAAGAGUGAUGAAUUGGCAUCUCCAUCUGGAAUCUCAUAGUCAUGUUUAUCCUAAGGGUUGGGUGCUUCAGAAGAACCUUGAUGUUGAUGUUCUCAAGUGAUGAACUACAACCGUAUGAGAUACACAGAGACAGUGUCCAGAAAUGUGGAGUAUUCCAAUGGGUAACAUAAAAAAUCAGGGGUUUAUAAUGGAAAACGAGCGUGGGUUUCGUUUGCCUUGCUUUUGUUGGAACAUUCUGAUAAACUGACAGCUAAUGCUUUGUUCACAUUGAAAUUUCUCGGCUCCCUCAUUUCUCUGCUGAGGAUCAGUACCAAAUUCACUGUCAGCCAGCAACCUUGGUAUAUACAAAUAUACAAGCACUGGAAGUCGCCCAAACCUAACUGGACAGCAGUGAUUUCCAACAACAACAAUUCAUCUGCCUAACAUUCUUUUGCAGGAAGCAGCACUCAAAUCUUCUUGUAAAGUUGAUAUUGUCCACAGGUGGCACACAUCCAAAUAUAUUGUCUCAGUUGUGGAAUGUGUUUAUUUGUAUCUCUACCAUGUGUAUCAAAAUCAAGAAACCCCACUAUAGUAUUGGUUUUACAAAAUUUAUUUCACGAAAUUGCUUCAGUGUUAAUUUAUUGUUUCAUGAAAUUACUUCAGUGCAAUAGUGUUUUUUAUUUUUUUUGGCACUGUGGGUAAUGGCCCCAACUUAAAUGCCUCUGGUGAUUUGGAAUUGGCCCCUUCUGGAAAUUACUAUAAUCGGAUGUUCUUGAUUGCGUUGACUUUA
This is an RNA transcript of Macadamia integrifolia, 2367 nucleotides long. It is a transcript of the gene named probable beta-1,4-xylosyltransferase IRX9H, with no coding region annotated. NCBI's taxonomy places the organism in Eukaryota, Viridiplantae, Streptophyta, Magnoliopsida, Proteales, Proteaceae. The record is from RefSeq and is a predicted model, not a curated record. The transcript has 5 exons.